AAUGAACGCUGGCGGCAGGCCUAACACAUGCAAGUCGAACGAAGCCUUCGGGCUUAGUGGCGGACGGGUGAGUAACGCGUGGGAACGUGCCCCUUGGUACGGAAUAGCCCCGGGAAACUGGGAGUAAUACCGUAUGUGGUCGAGAGACGAAAGAUUUAUCGCCAAGGGAUCGGCCCGCGUUGGAUUAGGUAGUUGGUGGGGUAAUGGCCUACCAAGCCGACGAUCCAUAGCUGGUUUGAGAGGAUGAUCAGCCACACUGGGACUGAGACACGGCCCAGACUCCUACGGGAGGCAGCAGUGGGGAAUCUUAGACAAUGGGGGAAACCCUGAUCUAGCCAUGCCGCGUGAUCGAUGAAGGCCUUAGGGUUGUAAAGAUCUUUCAGAUGGGAAGAUAAUGACGGUACCAUCAGAAGAAGCCCCGGCUAACUCCGUGCCAGCAGCCGCAGUAA
Molecule: ribosomal RNA, 449 nt
Filed under: uncultured bacterium
Lineage: Bacteria
Description: partial 16S ribosomal RNA
Rfam family: Bacterial small subunit ribosomal RNA
Source: RNAcentral